AACCACAAGAUUUCCUCUGUGAUACUUAGUAAUUUUGCCUUCAUCCAGUUAUGAAAGCACUAUAGCCCUUUCAAAUUGGUUAAGGGCUUGUUUACACCUCCUUUAUAUUUUUAAUUGAAAAAUGAUUCAAUCCAAGGGCCAUGGUCUUCUAUGAUUAGUUGGUGGUGAUGGUGGGCUGUGUGUGUAAUGUAACCUUUCCUUUGCCGAAGUAAAAUCAAACAAAUUAACCAAUGAAUAACAAUCAAAAACAUAUUUGUUCUGUGUCUUGCCUAACCCAUAGAAUUGAUCUAAAGUGUUUAUAUUACGAAUCAUGCCCACAUUGUGUCUUCUCUGUCUUAAUUUGUCUUAAUUAUUUUUCUUUUAGGCCUAGAGUGAUGAUGAUGGCUUGGGGAGAGAGAUUGACAAAGAAGUUCCUGGUGAUUCUGGUGCAUAGGUCUGGUUUUUAUGUUUAUGCCAAACUUCUUGAAGCUAGAAAUUGGACCUUGGCAAAGAAGCUGAAGCCGGAUGGCUACAUCAGUGCUGAUGUCAUCACUGCCCAGAGCUAUUUGGAGAGUUUCAGUAGAUGUGAUAUCUCACGGCAAUUUUACCACAUUUGAAAGGCCUGUACUUCUUUUCAAAGCAUCUUCACAGCUAUGAGUUCAUGGGAUCCUGACAAUAACCUCAUGAGGUAGGUUAAGCAAUUAUUAUCUAUAUUUACUAUAUUCAAUUCAAUUUUAUUAAAUUCAAUAAAUA
RNAcentral lists this long non-coding RNA (732 nucleotides) under Phascolarctos cinereus (koala). RNAcentral's name for it is "lncRNA (ENSPCIG00000000711.2)". The record is from RNAcentral. Lineage: Eukaryota; Metazoa; Chordata; Mammalia; Diprotodontia; Phascolarctidae.